UACAGAGGUCCCAAGCGUUGUUCGGAUUCAUUGGGCGUAAAGGGCGCGUAGGCGGUCUUGUAAGUCUUGUGUGAAAUCCCUCGGCUUAACUGAGGAACUGCACGGGAUACUGCGAGACUUGAGUUCGGGAGAGGGAAGCGGAAUUCCGGGUGUAGCGGUGAAAUGCGUAGAUAUCCGGAGGAACACCGGUGGCGAAGGCGGCUUCCUGGACCGACACUGACGCUGAGGCGCGAAAGCUAGGGGAGCAAACGGG
This 253-nucleotide ribosomal RNA is filed under the name uncultured bacterium. Its description in RNAcentral is "partial 16S ribosomal RNA". It matches the Rfam family "Bacterial small subunit ribosomal RNA", at positions 524 to 776 of the family's 1533-position model. The record is from RNAcentral.